Molecule: ribosomal RNA, 113 nt
Filed under: Acanthosepion pharaonis
Lineage: Eukaryota; Metazoa; Mollusca; Cephalopoda; Sepiida; Sepiidae
Source: RNAcentral
UUGCGGCCAAAUCACGUUGAAAUAUUGGUUCCCGUACGAUCACCGAAGUUAAGCAACGUCGAGAUUGGUCAGUACUUGGAUAGGUGAUCGCUUGGGAAUGCCAAGUGCUGUAA